RNAcentral lists this ribosomal RNA (253 nucleotides) under uncultured bacterium. Its description in RNAcentral is "partial 16S ribosomal RNA". It matches the Rfam family "Bacterial small subunit ribosomal RNA", at positions 524 to 776 of the family's 1533-position model. The record is from RNAcentral.
UACGUAGGCAGCGAGCGUUGUUCGGAGUUCCUGGGCGUAAAGGGUGCGCAGGCGGUGGAGCAAGUCUGUUGUGAAAUCUCCCGGCUUAACCGGGAGGGUGCGGCGGAAACUGUUCUGCUGGAGUGAGGGAGAGGCAAGCGGAAUUCCUGGUGUAGCGGUGAAAUGCGUAGAUAUCAGGAGGAACACCCGUGGUGCAGACGGCUUGCUGGACCUCCACUGACGCUGAGGCACGAAAGCGUGGGGAGCAAACAGG